RNAcentral lists this ribosomal RNA (413 nucleotides) under uncultured bacterium. RNAcentral describes it as "bacterial SSU rRNA". It matches the Rfam family "Bacterial small subunit ribosomal RNA", at positions 355 to 765 of the family's 1533-position model. The record is from RNAcentral.
UGAGGAAUAUUGGGCAAUGCCCGCAAGGGUGACCCAGCAACGCCGCGUGGAGGAUGAAUGUCGUAAGAUUGUAAACUCCUGUUAGAGGGGAAGAAUAGUACCGGUUGGACCGGUAUAUGACUGUACCCUCAGAGAAAGCCCCGGCUAACUACGUGCCAGCAGCCGCGGUAAUACGUAGGGGGCAAGCGUUGUCCGGAUUUACUGGGUGUAAAGGGCGCGCAGGCGGGAUAAAAAGUCAGUGGUGAAAUCCUACAGCUUAACUGUAGAACUGCCUUUGAUACUUUUAUUCUUGAGUUCGGGAGAGAGAGACGGAAUUCCAGGUGUAGUGGUGAAAUACGUAGAUAUCUGGAAGAACACCAGUUGCGAAGGCGGUCUCUUGGUCCGACACUGACGCUGAGGCGCGAAAGCGUGGG